AGUGAUAUCUGUAUCUUGGAGACUACGUAUGUAUAAUGAACCUGAUGUUUAUUUAUAUAUGUUUAUAGUUCUGUUAGCAGCUCUAUACUACUAGUUGUAGUUUUGUAAGAUUACAGGUACAGGUACAGCUAUCGUUUCGUAUACAGAGGAAUUUUUUUUGUAUACGACGAGUUUGUCGGCGUGUCCGGGAUAAACGUGGAAAUCCGGGGGGUGACAAAAAAUAUUUACAUUAUAAAUUGAAU
RNAcentral lists this long non-coding RNA (242 nucleotides) under Ananas comosus (pineapple). RNAcentral describes it as "long non-coding RNA (ACOM_LNC027012)". Lineage: Eukaryota; Viridiplantae; Streptophyta; Magnoliopsida; Poales; Bromeliaceae. The record is from RNAcentral.